RNAcentral lists this ribosomal RNA (253 nucleotides) under uncultured bacterium. RNAcentral describes it as "partial 16S ribosomal RNA". It matches the Rfam family "Bacterial small subunit ribosomal RNA", at positions 524 to 776 of the family's 1533-position model. The record is from RNAcentral.
UACGUAGGGGGCAAGCGUUGUCCGGAUUUAUUGGGCGUAAAGAGCGUGUAGGCGGCUUUGCAAGUCCGUUGUGAAAACUCGAGGCUCAACCUCGGGCUUGCAGUGGAUACGGGCAGACUAGAGUGCGGUAGGGGAGACUGGAAUUCCUGGUGUAGCGGUGGAAUGCGCAGAUAUCAGGAGGAACACCGAUGGCGAAGGCAGGUCUCUGGGCCGCAACUGACGCUGAGGAGCGAAAGCAUGGGGAGCGAACAGG